AGUGGCGCACGGGUGAGUAAUAUAUAGGUAACGUGCCUUCAAGAGGGGGAUAACAGAUGGAAACGUCUGCUAAAACCCCAUAUGCCUUUAAUACGAAAGUAUGCAAGGGAAAUAUUUAUAGCUUGAAGAUCGGCCUGUACAGUAUCAGAUAGUUGGUGAGGUAAUGGCUCACCAAGUCAAUGACGCUUAACUGGUUUGAGAGGAUGAUCAGUCACACUGGAACUGAGACACGGUCCAGACUCCUACGGGAGGCAGCAGUGGGGAAUAUUGCACAAUGGGGGAAACCCUGAUGCAGCAACGCCGCGUGGAGGAUGACACAUUUCGGUGCGUAAACUCCUUUUAUAUAAGAAGAUAAUGACGGUAUUAUAUGAAUAAGCACCGGCUAACUCCGUGCCAGCAGCCGCGGUAAUACGGAGGGUGCAAGCGUUACUCGGAAUCACUGGGCGUAAAGAGCGUGUAGGCGGAUAGAUAAGUCAGAAGUGAAAUCCAAUAGCUUAACUAUUGAACUGCUUUUGAAACUGUCUAUCUAGAGUAUGGGAGAGGUAGAUGGAAUUUCUGGUGUAGGGGUAAA
RNAcentral lists this ribosomal RNA (571 nucleotides) under uncultured bacterium. Its description in RNAcentral is "bacterial SSU rRNA". It matches the Rfam family "Bacterial small subunit ribosomal RNA", at positions 94 to 685 of the family's 1533-position model. The record is from RNAcentral.